This 217-nucleotide ribosomal RNA is filed under the name Wyeomyia aporonoma. RNAcentral describes it as "partial 16S ribosomal RNA". Lineage: Eukaryota; Metazoa; Arthropoda; Insecta; Diptera; Culicidae. The record is from RNAcentral.
GAGCUUUAUUUUUAUUUUUUAUUAAUUAUUAAGAUUAAAAGGGUUUUUAAUUAAAUUAAAAAUUUUACUGGGGUGGUAUUAAAAUUUAAUAAACUUUUAUAAUUAAAUUACAUUAAUAUAUGAAUAAUUGAUCCAAUUUUAUUGAUUAAAAAAUUAAGUUACCUUAGGGAUAACAGCGUAAUUUUUUUUUAGAGUUCAUAUCGACAAAAAAGAUUGC